This 1094-nucleotide ribosomal RNA is filed under the name Sterreria rubra. RNAcentral describes it as "SSU rRNA". It matches the Rfam family "Eukaryotic small subunit ribosomal RNA", at positions 624 to 1740 of the family's 1831-position model. Lineage: Eukaryota; Metazoa; Xenacoelomorpha; Nemertodermatida; Nemertodermatidae. The record is from RNAcentral.
AAGCUCGUAGUUGGAUCUAGGGGUUCUUGACGUCGGUGCUCUCGCGAGCUUACUGGCGCUCGGACCCCUACAUUGUGCGGUUCUGGCUCGUCGUGCUCUUGACUGAGUGCGCGAUCUGGCCGCAGCGUUUACCUUGAAAAAAUUAGAGUGCUCAAAGCAGGCGUGCGCCUGGAUAGUUCAGCAUGGAAUAAUGGAACAGGACCUCGGUCCCGUUUUGUUGGUUUUAAGGACGGAGGUAAUGAUUAAGAGGGACAGACGGGGGCAUUCGUACUGCGGCGUUAGAGGUGAAAUUCUUGGACCGCCGCAUGACGAACUAGUGCGAAAGCAUUUGCCAAGAAUGUUUCCAUUAAUCAAGAACGAAAGUUAGAGGAUCGAAGGCGAUCAGAUACCGCCGUAGUUCUAACCAUAAACGAUGCCGACCGGCAAUCUGCAAAAGAGUGUUUAUCUUUGCAGGCAGCCCUGGGGAAACCAGAGUUUUCAGGUUAUGGGGGAAGUAUGGUUGCAAAGCUGAAACUUAAAGGAAUUGACGGAAGGGCACCACCAGGAGUGGAGCCUGCGGCUUAAUUUGACUCAACACGGGAAAACUCACCCGGCCCGGACACAGUAAGGAUUGACAGAUUGAGAGCUCUUUCUUGAUUCUGUGGGUGGUGGUGCAUGGCCGUUCUUAGUUGGUGGAGUGAUUUGUCUGGUUAAUUCCGAUAACGAACGAGACUCCAACCUGCUAAAUAGGCGUCUGAUCCUUUUGGAUGAGAAGGCCUUCUUAGAGGGACAAUCGGCGUUUAGCCGGAUGAGAUGGAGCAAUAACAGGUCUGUGAUGCCCUUAGAUGUUCGGGGCCGCACGCGCGCUACACUGAAAGAGUCAACGUGUGCCUACCCUACUCCGAUAGGAGCGGGUAACCCUGUGAGCCCCUUUCGUGAUGGGGAUAGGGGAUUGCAAUUAUUCUCCUUGAACGAGGAAUUCCCAGUAAGUGCAAGUCAUAAGCUUGCAUUGAUUACGUCCCUGCCCUUUGUACACACCGCCCGUCGCUACUACCGAUUGAAUGAUUUAGUGAGGUCUCCGGAUCGGGGGACUUCUGGGAGCUUCGGCGCCCUUU